CCCUUAGAUAUCUUGGAAUGCACGCGGGAUACAAUAAUUAAGAUAAUAAGUUUAUUUUCUUUUGGCUCUUUUUUUCUUCGGAUUUAAAGUUUGCCAAGAAAACCUGUUUUGAAAAGAAUGGGAAAUCUCAAAAUCUUAAUUUUGACAAGGAUUGUCUCUUGUAACAGAGGCAUGAAAGAGGAAUACCUAGUAGGCGUGAGUCAACACCUCGCACCGAUUAAGUCCCUGCUUUUUGUACACACCGCCCGUCGCAUCAAGGAACAUGAUUGAAGUCAUGAAGCUUACGGAUAAUGUGUGUUUUUCUUCGGGAAAAUUGAUUAAAAGUAAACUGAAUGGUUUUAAUCUUACCAUGAUGAAGUCGUAACA
This 366-nucleotide ribosomal RNA is filed under the name uncultured eukaryote. Its description in RNAcentral is "partial 18S ribosomal RNA". It matches the Rfam family "Eukaryotic small subunit ribosomal RNA", at positions 1470 to 1796 of the family's 1831-position model. The record is from RNAcentral.